GGGCUAAUGGUGUAGUUGGUUAUCACGCUCGCUUAGCACAGAAGUGUUGUCAAGAAUAUGCGAGAGGGGUCCGGUUCAAUUCCGGAUUAGUCCA
Fomitiporia mediterranea MF3/22 is the source of this 94-nucleotide non-coding RNA. Lineage: Eukaryota; Fungi; Basidiomycota; Agaricomycetes; Hymenochaetales; Hymenochaetaceae. The record is from the annotation of a RefSeq genome assembly.